AUGAGAAUUUCUUCUCUUUCCUGCGAGAGUGGUGGUUCAAUUUUACUGUUGGUUUUGGGAGCAAUUCAUGCUGAAGCUGUCCAGUGGGAGGAAGCAGGGAAACCACAACUCCGGACUGAAAUGAGGGCACCUGGGAUUUUAUUGCCACUCUGCCCCAUCAGUGCCCCUAUUCACGCGCCACUGAGGGCCUGCGGCUACAGAGGAGGAAGCACACUGGCUCUUUUGUGUUUGCAUCCAACUUGCAGGGACGAUGGCAUUUGUCAGAGCUCUUCCUCCAGUUUUCAUCCUUUGUCCGCUGACCACAGAGCCAUGCGUCAAGUAACGAGAGCCCCACGGACAACAAAUGAGAAAUACCAGAAAAGCGAUGCUUGCCAGCUGUGGGCACCUCAGGCCCAGGCGCCUUUUGAAGUCAAUGGGAGAACUUUGAUGACUCAAGAGGAAGAACAGUAA
This 450-nucleotide long non-coding RNA is filed under the name Sus scrofa (pig). RNAcentral describes it as "lncRNA (ENSSSCG00015031302.1)". The record is from RNAcentral. Lineage: Eukaryota; Metazoa; Chordata; Mammalia; Artiodactyla; Suidae.